This 459-nucleotide ribosomal RNA is filed under the name uncultured bacterium. Its description in RNAcentral is "partial 16S ribosomal RNA". It matches the Rfam family "Bacterial small subunit ribosomal RNA", at positions 338 to 795 of the family's 1533-position model. The record is from RNAcentral.
CCUACGGGAGGCAGCAGUGAGGAAUAUUGGUCAAUGGACGGAAGUCUGAACCAGCCAUGCCGCGUGCAGGAAGACGGCUCUAUGAGUUGUAAACUGCUUUUGUACAAGGGUAAACCUGAAUACGUGUAUUCAGCUGAAAGUACUGUACGAAUAAGGAUCGGCUAACUCCGUGCCAGCAGCCGCGGUAAUACGGAGGAUCCAAGCGUUAUCCGGAUUUAUUGGGUUUAAAGGGCGCGUAGGCGGAUUGAUAAGUUAGAGGUGAAAUGUCCGAGCUCAACUCCAUCCAGCCGUUGAAACUGGGGAUCUAGAGUGUGCGAGAGGUAUGCGGAAUGCGUGGUGUAGCGGUGAAAUGCAUAGAUAUCACGCAGAACCCCGAUUGCGAAGGCAGCAUACCGGUGCACAACUGACGCUCAGGCACGAAAGCGUGGGUAUCGAACAGGAUUAGAUACCCUUGUAGUC